Molecule: ribosomal RNA, 269 nt
Filed under: uncultured bacterium
Lineage: Bacteria
Description: partial 16S ribosomal RNA
Rfam family: Bacterial small subunit ribosomal RNA
Source: RNAcentral
UUAUUUUAGCGGCGGACGGGUGAGUAACGUGUGGGUAACCUGCCUUUUACUGUGGAAUAAUCGUUGGAAACGACGACUAAUACCGCAUACGAUUUUCUGAAGGCAUCUUCGGAAAAAGAAAGGAAAUAUUCGGUAAAAGAUGGGCCCGCAUCUGAUUAGCUAGUUGGUGAGAUAAUAGCCCACCAAGGCAACGAUCAGUAGCCGACCUGAGAGGGUGACCGGCCACAUUGGGACUGAGACACGGCCCAAACUCCUACGGAAGGCAGCAG